AACGAACGCUGGCGGCAGGCUUAACACAUGCAAGUCGAACGCACCUUUCGGGGUGAGUGGCAGACGGGUGAGUAACGCGUGGGAAUCUACCCUUCUCUACGGGAUAGCUCCGGGAAACUGGAAUUAAUACCGUAUACGUCCUGAGGGAGAAAGAUUUAUCGGGGAAGGAUGAGCCCGCGUUGGAUUAGCUAGUUGGUGGGGUAAAGGCCUACCAAGGCGACGAUCCAUAGCUGGUCUAAGAGGAUGAUCAGCCACAUUGGGACUGAGACACGGCCCAAACUCCUACGGGAGGCAGCAGUGGUGAAUAUUGGACAAUGGGCGCAAGCCUGAUCCAGCCAUGCCGCGUGAGUGAUGAAGGCCCUAGGGUUGUAAAGCUCUUUCAGUGGGGACGAUAAUGACGGUACCCACAGAAGAAGCCCCGGCUAACUUCGUG
Molecule: ribosomal RNA, 433 nt
Filed under: uncultured bacterium
Lineage: Bacteria
Description: partial 16S ribosomal RNA
Rfam family: Bacterial small subunit ribosomal RNA
Source: RNAcentral